AUGAGCCCCUUCUGGCUUGGUUCCAUAUUCCAAGGCCCUUCCAUAAUCCAAUUCUUUGUCCCGAACCAUCCAUUGAAGAACAUAGAGUGUGCAGAAUAUCAGUUUGUUAUAUUUGCAUCAAAUGAACUAUGGGAGCACUUGAACAAUCAGGAAGUUGUGGAUAUAGUUCAUUGUUCACCUCGGAAUGUUAAACCGAAUGCUGUAUCGAAACAUGUAGUAUUUACUUGUAAAAGAGCAACUGAGAGCCUGGUGGGUCGGGAUGAAGGAAGAAUACCCCUGAGAGCCCAAACUCAAGUUCGAAAAUAUAUGCAGAAUAUAUGUUUGCCUCUGCUAUAUACAUAUGUAAUUUUCCAGUCUGUGUUUUCUGCUCCUCUUUGGCGCAAUGUGGAAGAUGUUGGUUUUAAAGGCUAG
This 411-nucleotide ribosomal RNA is filed under the name Triticum aestivum (bread wheat). Its description in RNAcentral is "partial small subunit ribosomal RNA". Lineage: Eukaryota; Viridiplantae; Streptophyta; Magnoliopsida; Poales; Poaceae. The record is from RNAcentral.